Molecule: ribosomal RNA, 380 nt
Filed under: uncultured eukaryote
Lineage: Eukaryota
Description: partial 18S ribosomal RNA
Rfam family: Eukaryotic small subunit ribosomal RNA
Source: RNAcentral
CAAUAGCGUAUAUUAAAGUUGUUGCGGUUAAAAAGCUCGUAGUUGGAUUUCUGCCGAGGACGACCGGUCCGCCCUCUGGGUGUGUAUCUGGUUUGGCCUGGGCAUCUUCUUGGAGAACGUAGCUGCACUUGACUGUGUGGUGCGGUGUCCAGGACUUUUACUUUGAGGAAAUUAGAGUGUUUCAAGCAGGCACACGCCUUGAAUACAUUAGCAUGGAAUAAUAAGAUAGGACCUCGGUUCUAUUUUGUUGGUUUCUAGAGCUGAGGUAAUGAUUAAUAGGGAUAGUUGGGGGCAUUCGUAUUUAACUGUCAGAGGUGAAAUUCUUGGAUUUGUUAAAGACGGACUACUGCGGAAGCAUUUGCCAAGGAUGUUUUCAUUGA